Molecule: ribosomal RNA, 253 nt
Filed under: uncultured bacterium
Lineage: Bacteria
Description: partial 16S ribosomal RNA
Rfam family: Archaeal small subunit ribosomal RNA
Source: RNAcentral
UACCAGCACCCCGAGUGGUCGGGACGUUUAUUGGGCCUAAAGCAUCCGUAGCCGGUUCUACAAGUCUUCCGUUAAAUCCACCUGCUUAACAGAUGGGCUGCGGAAGAUACUAUAGAGCUAGGAGGCGGGAGAGGCAAGCGGUACUCGAUGGGUAGGGGUAAAAUCCGUUGAUCCAUUGAAGACCACCGGUGGCGAAGGCGGCUUGCCAGAACGCGCUCGACGGUGAGGGAUGAAAGCUGGGGGAGCAAACCGG